GGAAUAUUGGACAAUGGGGGGAACCCUGAUCCAGCCAUGCCGCGUGUGUGAAGAAGGCCUUUUGGUUGUAAAGCACUUUAAGCGAGGAGGAGGCUCCCAGUAUUAAUACUACUGGAGAGUGGACGUUACUCGCAGAAUAAGCACCGGCUAACUCUGUGCCAGCAGCCGCGGUAAUACAGAGGGUGCAAGCGUUAAUCGGAUUUACUGGGCGUAAAGCGUGCGUAGGUGGCCAAUUAAGUCAAAUGUGAAAUCCCCGAGCUUAACUUGGGAAUUGCAUUCGAUACUGGUUGGCUAGAGUAUGGGAGAGGAUGGUAGAAUUCCAGGUGUAGCGGUGAAAUGCGUAGAGAUCUGGAGGAAUACCGAUGGCGAAGGCAGCCAUCUGGCCUAAUACUGACACUGAGGUACGAAAGCAUGGGGAGCAAACAGGAUUAGAUACCCUAG
RNAcentral lists this ribosomal RNA (441 nucleotides) under uncultured Acinetobacter sp. RNAcentral describes it as "bacterial SSU rRNA". It matches the Rfam family "Bacterial small subunit ribosomal RNA", at positions 358 to 790 of the family's 1533-position model. The record is from RNAcentral. Lineage: Bacteria; Pseudomonadati; Pseudomonadota; Gammaproteobacteria; Moraxellales; Moraxellaceae.